Molecule: long non-coding RNA, 397 nt
Organism: Fukomys damarensis (Damara mole-rat)
Lineage: Eukaryota; Metazoa; Chordata; Mammalia; Rodentia; Bathyergidae
Exons: 3
Source: RefSeq, a predicted model, not a curated record
AGGAAGUGUCUUAGCUUCAGCCUUCUACCCAUGGCUGCCCAGCAGAAGGAGGGCACCAGGCCAGGUGAGAGCAGUGUCUCUAGUGGUGCGGUCUUGGCUGCCUCCGUGACUCCACUGGCUCCAAACAUUGACCUUUCAUAAUCACGUUGACACUGGGGAAGACCUAGGAGUUGUGUGGUCCCAGAUCUGCGACUUCUACAGUAGCAGCCUGAAAGGUCAAACUUCAUGGAAACAACCGGAGUGUUCAGCGAUCUGCAGGUGUGAGGGCCUCCUGGGACUUCUGACUGUGGCUGUGGGCAUCACCAGGACCAGGCUCCAUGGGCCCACUCAGUAUAUUUUUCUUCAUUUUCUCAAACCUGGCCCGAUUCCACCUUAAAUUAAUGUUAAACAGCUUUAU